Long non-coding RNA from Oncorhynchus kisutch (coho salmon), 5657 nucleotides. The record is from Ensembl. Lineage: Eukaryota; Metazoa; Chordata; Actinopteri; Salmoniformes; Salmonidae.
UGUCCUAGACAUGUUUCAGAGAUGCAGUGUAUGUUAGAAAAAUCAACAUGUUGGUUGGAGUUUUCACAACUGUUUCUCUCUCUUUUUUUUUCUCUCUAGAAUUAAACUCUUCAAUUCAACUUUUGAGGAUGGUGCCCCAUAAUGCUUGAAAUGCUACUCAGCUCAAUGUGCUGGGACAGAUAGAGCUGACACAACAUGUAUAACGCUUGUGAAAAUGCCAGAUCAAGAGAAUGGAGCGACGGUGACGGAUACAGCUGCCAUAGUAUGGCUCACUGGGAAGGUGAUCCCCCAGCUGGAGAAAGACAGUACCUCACCCAACAGGCAGGGGAACACCAGUGGCUGAACCGUGAGGAUGAAGCUGCCGUGUGGGCCCACUACAACUCCCAUCAACAAAACUCUCAGAUGGACUUCCGUGGACAUCGGACACAAGAGACCCAGCCGCCUCCUCUGUAUCAUCAGGACCAUCACAGAAGUCAGAACAUAAGGGAUAGGCCCAAUCUCUAUGGACCCUUGAGAGAACAGGCACCUCCUAAUGUAACCUUACACUGCAGUGGAGAGAGAACAGAAACGUGGGCUAACCAUGAACCCCACUUCCCCAGCAAUGACUUUUUACCCCCACUCAACGUCGAAAGAGGGCAUGAGGAUAUUUCCCAUCACCAUAACACCGACCAGGAUUAUCUGGUUGGUCGUGGAGUGAAUCAUAACAAUCUCCAUUACUUGGAAAGCAAAUGGCAGAUGUUCGAUCCCACCCAUUCCAAUGGACAUGCUAGAGGACAUUGCAAUGUACAUUCAAGGGGAUAUUUUACUGAAUGCUCAAGGGGACGUUCUAGGGGUGGUUCCAGUGGAAAUUCUAGGGGUGGUUCUAGUGUAUGUUCUUGGGGUGGUUCCAGGGGUCGGUCUAGUGGACGUUCUCAGGGUGGUUCCAGGGGUCGGUCUAGUGGACGUUCUCGGGGUGGUUCCAGGGGUCAGUCUAGUGGACGUUCGAGGGCCCAUUCCAAAGCAGCCAGCCAUGGUAUACUAGGACCUAGUGUUCCUUCCCAAACCUCUGUCACCACUGACCAGCAAUAUGCUCCCUCUCCUCCCAAACCUCUCACUGAGACACUUCAGGAAAAACCUCCUGAUAAACAUAAGAUCUCACUCAAUGAAAUACAGGACUGGCUCCACAGUGUUUUAAGAUCUAAAAAUGGACCCAUAAAUGGGAACAACUCAACACAAGACCCCUCCCAGGCACAACAAUUCAGCACAGAGAAGAUGGAUAUUUUACAAGGAGGCAAAAGGCACCUACAUAGUAACACCAAAGACAACCAGGCGAGGCCCCCUGAGAGGUUUAGUCCUGAGGACUCCACUAUACGGCUGGAGAUUAAGUCCACCCCCAGGUGCAUGACCCUGACGGCAGUCGCCACCACUCCGCCCCCUGUGGCUAUUGUCCCUCCAAUGGGUCCACAGCAGUCCCCAGAGCCAAUGGAGACAGAGAAUACAGGCAAUGAGCUGCCAUUUAAGAUUUUACGGGCCUGGUCCAUCAACGAACAACAAGUGGAAAGCCUGUGGGAAAGAGCUAAAGAUGAUGCAAGUUCUCUCUCUGUCCGAAAUGAGCCGGUUCAAGUUGAGAGUUUUAUGGAGUAUGAUAAGCCUGUAGAUGCAUCUGCAACAAGUUCACUGGCAUCUACUGGAGAGGACAAUGAUGAGGUCCUUCAGGUCAUCACACAGACGGACAAGAGUUCACCUUCACCAUUUGUCCACACCAUCCCUCAGGCAACUGAUAUUGUACGCAACGGAGGUACCCAGACAAUCGUGGAAGUUAGCUCCAACGGCGCAGAUGAGAGAUCUCUUGUUCUGUCCACAAUUGCUGAAGUUCAGUUCAAGUUACGUACGCUGCAGCAACUGGUUACUUAUCGGGAGAAUGCAGCAACAAUCACAGAGGCAAAGGAUGGUUGUCUAGAAGCCAUAUUGGAGCAGUAUUGGGGCGGGGAAACCUCUAACCUGGUAGAAGCUUUAAAAGAUAAAAGGGAUAAGGAAAUCAUGCGAGAUGUGUCUGCCUGGGCCGCAGAGGAUGAGGAAGCAGUGGUUCUCUUUGCAGUCAGUGGUAUAUCACUGGAGGAAGUGGUCGAGAAGUUUCCCAUUCCAGCGCAUGUUGACAGCUCUUCCCAAGUGGGUUACAGGUCAUCCUGGUUAAAUGUCAAUGAGAAGCUGAAUGACAUUGACAAAGAAUCUGGAAGAGCUUGGUCUCUCUGGUUCAUACCAGAUAAAGCAGAGGAGAGUUCCAAAGUUGUUGGGGGAGUCAAAAUGGAUGACACCUUCCACAGCAAGAUGGAGACUGUGGAAUUUCCUGCACGACAACCUGUUGUAACAACAGGCUCAGACCUCACAACAAACAUAGACCUCAUGAUGGUUGCAGACUCCUCAACAGACACAGACCUCCCAACAGAUGCAGACUUGGAGACCGAACCCCUUUCCCCAAUGAUUUUGACCGUCCUCACACCAGAGGAUGCUGUGAAACUGCUUGCUGAAACAGAGGCACCAGGCGCAGACCUCACAACAGACACAAACUGCCCGACAAAUGCAGACCUCACAACCGACUCAGACACAGACCCCCUUUCCCCAAUGCAUUUGACCGUCCUGACAUCUGAGGAUGCCAUGAGACUGUUUUGCCAGAUCGAAAAUGGCUCUGACCUCCAACUCGGGUCCCAUGAACCAUGCUCUGAAGACAAAGACGAGACAAAGACAAAGCAACAAGAGAAUAUAGAAAGUGGCAGCUUAGAUAAGUCCUGCUAUUGUCCUUGUAUUAUUGAAACUGACAAUGGGUUUGAAAGUGGCCUAUGCACCAGUUGUCAGAGGGAGAAAGGACUGCAGCAAGGUACAAGAUGCUUAACAAUCGCUCAAUGCUUUACCCUGUUAGAUACAAGCGACAAUUCAGAUCAGGAGACAGAAGAGGUCCCUAAGGACUCUGGGGGGAAGGCGACUGGGGACAAUCAAUGCAGGGACAAGAAGCAGAUACAAUCAACUGAAGAAGAGGGUGAUGACAAUCAAUCCUGUGACAAUAAGACAGAGGGAGAAAUGCAGCAAUGUACAGGUGUCAUACCGAUCACUGACUUUUUAUUCUGGUCAGAUACAAUUGAGGAUUCAGAUCAGGAGACAGAGGAGAACCCUAAUGAACAACAUGCUCAGAUUGAGGCUCAUGCUUCUAAUGUUAAAAGGACAGAGCCUGAAACUGAUGCCAAAGCACCCUGUGAGUCAGCCCAAGAACAUACUACCCAAAGUAAAGUCAGUCCUGGUUCUGAGGAUAGGGAAAUGCCGCAAGAGAAGGACCAAGACUGUAGGACGAGUACAUUACCAAUUCCCACGUUUGAAAACCCCUCUAAGUUAAGAGCUAACAUCAUAGCAGACAAGUGGUGUUCACCUGUAGAGGACUGUGGUUCACCUGCAGAGAAGUAUGACAAAGUUGCUGACUUUGUCCCUCAAUACAAAACCUGCAACUCAAAGAAAAAUGGAAAAGAAAAAAUGGAAAAGGAGGAAACCCUCCAUCCAACAUCAUCUGACAGACAAAAGCCCAAGAAACGCCAUGGGAGAGCAGAGAGAGGACAGUCACCAUCCCAACCCCCUAAGAGCUCUGGGGUGAAGGCAACUUUGAAUAAUCAACGCAGGGACAAGAAGCCACAUGCGUCACACAAGAGGAGACAUUUGACUGAGAGGGAUGAAAGUCGAUGCAAAGACAAGAAGAGGGGAUCAUCAACUGAGAAAGAGCGUGAGGGCAGUCAAUCCAGGGACAAUAAGCCACCGAAGAGGAGACAUUCAACUGAGAAAGAGAGUGAGGACAAUCAAAGUAGAGGCAAGAAGGGGAGACUUUCAAUGGAACAACUGGGUGAGGCCAGUCAAUCUAGGGACAAGACGUCGCAGAAGAGGAGAAAUUCAACUAAAACUGAAAGCAGGAACUCCAAAGAGUUCCAGUGCCAGUUGGUGGAAAGCGAGAGCGACAGAGGCAGUAAGAAGUCACCGCCGUGCCCUGGGGUGAAAACCCUCCAUGUGCUGGGAUCCUCAUCUACCACUGUUCCUCUCAAACUCUCCCUAAACAUCCACAAAAAGCCUUCCACAAAUGGCUCACCCUCAACACAUACUGAGGAAGUCGCCAAAAAGCCAAAGACUAAAACCCCAUACAAAACUAGCAGACACCACUCCCCUGCAAUGUCAGUGUCUCCUGUUGUCAAAGAGAGGCAGAGGAACGGUGUGAAACACAAGCAAAAAAUUCAACCCCUAAAAGUCAGAUUGAAAAAGCUGUCCUUACCCAAACAUCUUGUCAGGAAAGGUUCCCCACCAAGGCAGAAGAGGGUGGAGGAUAGAGGAGACCCUCUGAGUUUAGGGGUAAUGGUCUCUAAGAAUCCUGACUCGUGCAAGAAACUAAAACGUAAGGCAGAGAGCGACUUGACAUCCCAACAGAUGUUGUCAAAGAUUCCAAAGGUGUUGAAUAGGAAUGAGACAGGAAAGUUGUCAAAAAGCGAGCGUGAGUGCGACUCGCUGCCCCGCAAGCCAAAGCUGCCAAGAAUUCUGAAGCUUCUAAGAACUCCAGAGGUUUCAAAGGAUGGGAAUGAGAGAGAGAACAGAGAAAAGACAUCUCCCAGUGCUUCACCUGAAUCACAAAUGCUAAACAAACCUGCAAGAGUGGCACACAAGCCCAAACCUUGUAUCAAGCCUGCCAGUCCCAAUGGUUAUAGCCCAGGUAGUCAUGCUUGCUCUAAUCCGGCUAGGAUAUCACAGCAACAUGGCAAUGGACAUUAUGGGGCAAAAGUUACUGCGAGGCAGCAGGUGUUCUCAGAUUGGGAGAGCAGCUUUGUCCCGACUCCAACCCCCCGGACUCGUAGACGAUCAGGGUGUUCUCCAGAGGAAGUGGAAGGUCCACAGGCCAGUCCCAGGUGCAGCUCGGAGACCAGGAUCAUUCGACCCAUUCUAAAACGUGUCGAUUCUCUGCCGAAACCCAAGCGGAAUGUCAGCUUUCUUUUGAAUCCAAUGAACGUGCACUACUUCAAUCCCCGUGAAUAUGAAAAUCACGUAAUGUUCAACAGGUCUUACACAGAUCCGGAAGAUGCACAGCCUUCUGACGAUGAAGAGGAAGAUGCUUCUGUGAACUGCCAGAAUCUGAAGGAACAGUCCCCUCUUAGGGAAGAGAAGCGGCAAGAUCUAGGGGAGCUGAAGCCUGGACCAAGCGCUGCAUGUGAAAAGAGCUUCAAAAGGAAGUGGGAAAUGCAGGAGCCUGCUCCCAUUUUGAUGAAGAAGAGCAUUGUUCAGGCAAAGCGUUUGACAAAGUCUCUCCAUCAUGAACCUCCAAAAGACUCGGCAAGAAAAACUGGAGUUGGUUACAAGUGGUCAGAGAAGCAGAGGAAGAGGCCCAAUGAAACUGAAGGUACAUCGCAGGCUAUGCCAGCCUCACAUGAACUUCCCGUACAUAUUUGCCCAUGGUAGAAGAUGUGAGAAAGUGACUUUUUGGACCAGAAUGCCAAAACAUUCAGGAGAUAGAGGUGCCCAAAGUUGACGAUUUUGCAUACCCUACCGUACAUCCAUGUCUUCAUCACUGGAAAGGUAAACGGUUGAGUUUGAUAUCAUUUAAAAGCUUACAAAAAAGUAUUGGCGAGAGUAUGCUGUGUCUCAACCGAUGGUGGUCACAACAU